Molecule: long non-coding RNA, 307 nt
Organism: Felis catus (domestic cat)
Lineage: Eukaryota; Metazoa; Chordata; Mammalia; Carnivora; Felidae
Exons: 3
Source: RefSeq, a predicted model, not a curated record
CUCUCCCUGGUAUCUCACCGCUGCCUCCGUGCAGAAAACUUGGCGAUGCAGGAAAUUGCCAUUUGGACAGAAAUACCGUGGCACUGACUGAGUGCUUGACUAGUUCAGAUGGCUUGAAACCAUUUGGGUAACUCUCCUAGGAGGGACACUUAUUCCUUUAUCCCUCCACAUUGCUGUGACCUGUGCAGUUUACGUGCUGGAAAUCCGGACCAGAAAAAACAAGUGAGUGAUCGCCAGCUGCAGCAGCCGAGCAGCGUUUCAGGGAUUAUGGAAAAUCACAACACACAUCUGGCACCAGCCUUCACCC